UACGGGGGGAGCAAGCGUUGUUCGGAUUUACUGGGCGUAAAGGGCGCGUAGGCGGUUUUUUAAGUCGGAUGUGCAAUCCCCAGGCUCAACCUGGGAACUGCAUCCGAGACUGGAAGGCUAGAGUACUGGAGAGGGUGGUGGAAUUCCUCGUGUAGCGGUGAAAUGCGUAGAGAUGAGGAGGAACACCAGUGGCGAAGGCGGCCACCUGGACAGUAACUGACGCUGAGGCGCGAAAGCGUGGGUAGCAAACAGG
RNAcentral lists this ribosomal RNA (253 nucleotides) under uncultured bacterium. RNAcentral's name for it is "partial 16S ribosomal RNA". It matches the Rfam family "Bacterial small subunit ribosomal RNA", at positions 524 to 776 of the family's 1533-position model. The record is from RNAcentral.